CAGGGGCUGGGCCAGUGGGCAAUGCAUGGUUGACCCUGGGUGGCAGCCAGCUCGGAGUCUUAGCUACACAUCGUGGAAUGCAAACUUCCUUGCCAGACUCCUCCUGGAGCCUGAACUGGGGCACCGGCCCUGUGGGGUGGGGUGUGGAGUUGCAGAGUGGGAGGGAGAUGGCCCUGAGCCUGAGUUAGAGGCAGGCAUGGUUGGGGACACCACUGCAGGCUGGGAGAAAAGGAAGCUGGGAGCCCCCACCUCUGCCCCAGAUCAAGAACUACACAGAAACCCCUCUAGGCACCCAACAUACCCAACUAGAUGAAGCCCAGCCAGUUGUUUUCCUGGCUUAGGGGUGCAGUGUGGGGGUGCUGGCCUGGUGGAGGUGGUAGAGGAUCGAGAAGGGCUGUGUAUCCUGCAGAGCAGCUGUGAAGUUGGGAGCCAGUGAGCAGUUUAUAAAGGAGACGGAUUAUUUCCCCAACACAGCCUGACACUCUGCCACAGCUCAGACCCCUCCUGGGGGCCAGAAAAGAGUGUUCACCCAUGAACCAUCUUCCUCUGGACCUAUCUACCAUCUGAGAACCACCCUUAGACCCAGGUUACCAUGGCUUCUGCCCUCCACCGGGUACUAUGGAGGGCCCUGGUCUGCCCUCUCUCUGGGGCAAGAAGUCAGUAGGAUGAGGGGGACAUGCCCCCAGAGGGCACACCACGUCCCUCGAGACCCUGCCUAAAUGGCCCUGAGCCCGCUUCAAGGGCUUCUUCCCUGGCCAGUCCUCCUGAGGGGGGCACACAUCUGUGAGUCCAUGGGGACAAAGGGGCGGCUGUUCAUGGGCCAGGAUGAAGGAUGGAGGUUUAUGGGCCUGGAUGGAACUUUGGAGGUUCAGGCUGAGGUCCUUAAUGAUAGGGAAGGAGCCAAGUGGGUAGAGAAGGGGGUGUGGAGCUCCGUUUGCACUCUUGUGGCAGGCCUAACACCCCACACCCCACAACCCUUUGGCCUAACAUCAUCUGCACAAACCAGCCAAAAGCCAAUCAUGGCUGCCUUGCCUGACUCACCCUACAGAGCUCAGAUUCCACCCCUAAAAGGUGCCUGGGCCUUGAGUUUAGAGAAGAGUUCCUGCAGCAGCGGGCUGGGUGGAAAGGAGAGAUGGGGCUGACUCCAGCUGCCUCUCCAGCAGCAAGGACUAAGGGAAGGGUGCAGGGCAGGCGAGGCCUCCUGCCUGAGCCUAGGGAUGCCUCUUCUGGCAGAGCCAGGCCUGUCUGACUCAGAGGGUGGGGUGACCCAGGCAGCUCUCACCGCCCAGGGCACCCCUGGGGACCUGUUGGGCCAGUUUUCCUGUAUUUGCCACACUGACAUUUAAUUUUUAAUUCCUCAUAUGCAUCACCCUGGAGAUGGCUUGAUUCAGACUGGGGAGGGCAAGAAAGAGAACCCCAGAAAAUACAACCCUGCUGCCACCCAAUGUUCUAUGGACCCAGCUCUCAGAAGCAGAGGGACAGGCCAGGCGCGGUGGUGCACACCUGUAAUCCCAGCACUUCGGGAGGCCGAGGUGGGCGGAUCAUGAGGUCAGGUGAUAGAGAGACCAUCCUGGCUAAUACAGUGAAACCCUAUCUCUACUAAAAAUACAAAAAAUUAGCCCUGCGUGGUGGCGGGCGCCUGUAGUCCCAGCUACUCAGGAGGCUGAGGCAGGAGAGAUGCGUGAACCCGGGAGGCGGAGCUUGUGCCACUGCACUCCAGCCUGGGUGACAGAGCAAGACUCCGUCUCAAAAAAAAAAAAAAGAAAAAAA
Molecule: long non-coding RNA, 1770 nt
Organism: Macaca fascicularis (crab-eating macaque)
Lineage: Eukaryota; Metazoa; Chordata; Mammalia; Primates; Cercopithecidae
Source: Ensembl